This 29-nucleotide non-coding RNA is filed under the name Rattus norvegicus (Norway rat). The record is from RNAcentral. Lineage: Eukaryota; Metazoa; Chordata; Mammalia; Rodentia; Muridae.
UNGCCUAAGGGAUUCUUGCUCAGGUAGGU